AUGGGGCUCCCCGAGGUCCAGCAUCCCAUGGCCGGCGGCGCCGCCUCACCAGGCACGGCCUGCGCCUUCACCCUGUCUCCAGACUCCUCCCUCUUCCCAGCAGCUCGAGCCAACAGCGACGGGCCGGUCGGGUUCGCCCGCGAAGCGCGUGGCCACGAUGGCCUGCACGCGAGCGAUGGGAAGGCGGGGAGGAGGAAGAGGCGGGCCGGUGGAGGAGUAGCAGCAGGGCGGCAGCGGAAGAGAAGGAGGAGGAGGAGGAGGUGGGAGGGAGCGGCGGCAGGUGAGGGAGGAAGGAGCGAGGGGCGUGGGGCUGGGGCUAGGGUUCGAUGCCGUUUUCUCUACCUCGCGCGGUGCGAUGUUUUUUCCACUCACCUGGUGCGCUGCGCCCCCACGCACGGCGCAGUGCGAUAG
This 411-nucleotide ribosomal RNA is filed under the name Triticum aestivum (bread wheat). Its description in RNAcentral is "partial small subunit ribosomal RNA". The record is from RNAcentral. Lineage: Eukaryota; Viridiplantae; Streptophyta; Magnoliopsida; Poales; Poaceae.